Molecule: non-coding RNA, 202 nt
Organism: Oryza punctata
Lineage: Eukaryota; Viridiplantae; Streptophyta; Magnoliopsida; Poales; Poaceae
Source: Rfam
UAUAAGUGUAGUUCUAGGUUUCCGUGUCCAACGUUAACUGUCCAUCUUAUUUGGGAAAAAAAUGAUUGGUAUAUUUAUUCUUAUUACACGAUAAAACAUGAAUAUUAAUUUAUGUGGGAUUAUUUUUUUAAUUUUUUUAUAAAUUUUUUAAAUAAGACGGAUGGUCAAAUGUUGGAUACGGAAAACCACAACUGCACUGGAA